This 73-nucleotide transfer RNA is filed under the name Thermoplasmatales archaeon. Its description in RNAcentral is "tRNA-Asn". It matches the Rfam family "tRNA". From Rfam's summary of the family: Transfer RNA (tRNA) molecules are approximately 80 nucleotides in length. Their secondary structure includes four short double-helical elements and three loops (D, anti-codon, and T loops). Further hydrogen bonds mediate the characteristic L-shaped molecular structure. tRNAs have two regions of fundamental functional importance: the anti-codon, which is responsible for specific mRNA codon recognition, and the 3' end, to which the tRNAs corresponding amino acid is attached (by aminoacyl-tRNA synthetases). tRNAs cope with the degeneracy of the genetic code in two manners: having more than one tRNA (with a specific anti-codon) for a particular amino acid; and 'wobble' base-pairing, i.e. permitting non-standard base-pairing at the 3rd anti-codon position. The record is from RNAcentral. Lineage: Archaea; Methanobacteriati; Thermoplasmatota; Thermoplasmata; Thermoplasmatales.
GCCGCCUUAGCUCAGUUGGUGGAGCACUCGGCUGUUAACCGAGCGGCCGCCGGUUCGAGUCCGGCAGGCGGCG